Clarias gariepinus (North African catfish) is the source of this 1551-nucleotide long non-coding RNA. RefSeq lists it as uncharacterized. The record is from RefSeq and is a predicted model, not a curated record. The transcript has 4 exons. Lineage: Eukaryota; Metazoa; Chordata; Actinopteri; Siluriformes; Clariidae.
AAAAAGCGUGCUACUCCCUGUACAGGGAAUGUCGAUUAAGGGAACUUCAUUCGACAAAAUUCCAUUAUUUGGAACACUUUGCACCGUCAGCAGUGUUACCCUGCUUUCCCUGUUAAACAAACAAACAUCAAAAUAUCAGGUCAGAAAAUGUUGAGACUCCGUCGAGUUCCGAUGCCUUUCUCCCCUCCGCGUCUCUGCACGCACUGAGCACAGCGGUGUAGCACAUGUUGAUCACAGACAUGCAGACAGCCGCAGAAGUGAAGCCCUCCCUCUCUUUCCAGUUGUUCUGGUGUCGAGAGCUCUACUGUGGAGGAUUGGGUCAGAGGAGUGACGGCCGGCCUAUUGAAGCUACAGGAGUAGCAUGAACAAGCUGUAGGAGGGGACUGUAGUCACUGUGGUCAUGCAAAUUUGCCUCUGCCCAGGAAGCCAUGGCUUGAUACUAGGAUUGCAGCACCUACAGCCCAUUUCCUGAUGACAUCUGUGUGUUGGCUCUUGACACACCUCUGAAAAAAUGUCACGUCAGCAGUAUUCCCCGGGUGCGUGAUGAAAUAACUUUUUUUUUUUUUUUUAAACAAAAUAUUUACAAAAGUUAAUAAAUGGCUGUCUGGUUUAACCUGGUCACACACAGCAGCAAAUAAAUCCACCCCUCCAUCAGUAUUUAAAUUAAGCCAUUGUCAAAUAAAUCAGCUUGUUAAUGGAACCUUGCAUGUUGUGCUGCAUAUCACCUGUUGUGCUUAAGAAUCAUUCCAAAAUUGUUUAUGGGUACUAAAAGUAAAAAGUCUUAUAAGAUUAUAAGAGACUGAACUCAAACACACUUUGACUCUUAGCAGAAUCACAUUUAAUCUGAUGUGUUUCCAGUAUCCCUUAUAUUACCCACCCUUCAAUCUCCGCCCCAUCCGCCAAAAAAACAAAAGCACAUCUGAUCAAAUAUUAUUAAAUGUCUAGUCACCUAGUCUAAAUAGCAUGUUUUUAGUUUAUUUCCUCAAUCACAUUACAUUUCCAGAUGGUACACAGCUCUGUAAUUUCUGUCCUGCAAAUUUCAUGGUAGAAUUUGUGAAGAAAAAAAUCCUUUUUUUCUGGGACCCUUCAUUUUUCUAUGUGUUUCUAGAAAAUAGAGGUUGGGUUAGCGUAUACAGACAAGGGCAUUGCUAUGUUUAAACGUGAGUAGUAUCCGUAAUUUACUGACAGAAUGUACCAAGAUUCCAUUGAUGGGUGGAGGUUAGGUCUGCAAAAUUAUUGUAAUCUUAGCAUCAUGUUAGCACAAAGUAAAAAUAAAUAAAUAAAUAAAUAAAUAAAUAAAUAAAAACCUACUGUAGCCACUACUUCUACGAUUUGGAUCCACUUCAUAGAUUGUGUUGUUUGAAAGAAUAUUCACAGUUGUACAAUGCAAACAAACCGGGAACUUGUUCUGCUUUGGAGCUACUAUUUCUUCAAAUGGUCCGCCUAAAUGGAACUACGAUAAUGAGCUAAUUGACACUGCCUGAUUCAGGAUAAAUUAUAUGAAGGAAGAACAGUUAAUAAAAGUGUAGCUACAUUGGUAGUACAACUUGU